UCCAAGGUGGUCUAGUGGUUAAGACUCUGCACUCCCAAUGCAGAAGGCCCAGAUUGAAUCCCUGGUCAGGGAA
This 73-nucleotide transfer RNA is filed under the name Bos taurus (domestic cattle). It matches the Rfam family "tRNA". Rfam says of the family: Transfer RNA (tRNA) molecules are approximately 80 nucleotides in length. Their secondary structure includes four short double-helical elements and three loops (D, anti-codon, and T loops). RNAcentral also lists the same sequence under 4 other names. The record is from Rfam by way of RNAcentral. Lineage: Eukaryota; Metazoa; Chordata; Mammalia; Artiodactyla; Bovidae.